UCUCCGUAGGUGAACCUGCGGAGGGAUCAUUACAGAGUUCAUGCCCUACCGGGUAGAUCUCCCACCCUAUGUUAUUAUUACUUUGUUGCUUUGGCGGGCCGUUAGGCUCCGGCCCGACUACCGGCCCCGGCUGGUAAGCGCCCGCCAGAGGACCCAAAACCCUGAAUAUUAGUGUCGUCUGAGUACUAUAUAAUAGUUAAAACUUUCAACAACGGAUCUCUUGGUUCCC
RNAcentral lists this unclassified non-coding RNA (229 nucleotides) under plant metagenome. Its description in RNAcentral is "partial contains small subunit ribosomal RNA, internal transcribed spacer 1, and 5.8S ribosomal RNA". The record is from RNAcentral.